Molecule: long non-coding RNA, 2335 nt
Filed under: Nicotiana benthamiana
Lineage: Eukaryota; Viridiplantae; Streptophyta; Magnoliopsida; Solanales; Solanaceae
Description: long non-coding RNA (NBEN_LNC034626)
Source: RNAcentral
CGAAUGACCCUCCCCCCAAACCCUGUCGCACUCAUCUCCCUCACACCCCUCUUCACCCAAAACCUAGUUUCAGCCGCCCUUAUUCUCUCCGAUGAGAUUCACCGACGGCGACGAUGGAAGUUAUCCCAUUCCCACCAAAAUACAACCCUCUUCAACACCCUCAUUCCAAAUACCGAACUGGUUUCCUUCGAAUCAUGGCCAGAUUAUUCGAAUCUCGAAUUUAAACUUUCCCGCGAAGUCCUGAAUUCACCUAAUCGCUCCCAAUAGCCUUAACCCCUCAACCCCAAUCCACCAUCCAUGUCCCUCUAAUCUUUUUCCAAAAUACUCUAAUCUUGAUUUUAAAUUUUUCGGCCAAGUCGCUACUAUGUCCAAACUGGUCAAAUUUUACACCAUUGAAUCACCUUCCCUCCCUCAUCCCAAAGCUCCAAUUGGUUGUCGUAAAACACCACCGGAACUCAUCAAUUCGUUAAUUUAGGGUUUUAAAAAAUGGUGUUGUUCUGGGGAUUCGAAGGCUCGAUUAGUUUUAUGUCGAUGUUACAUGUUUAUUUUAGUCAAGUUAACAUGCAGCAUUAACUGAAAGCCAAAUUCGAGGUCAAUUGGCGAAAGUGAAGAUGGCUUCAGUGAGCUUUGUUCUUGGGUCUAUGUUUUUGUUUAAAUUUCAUUUUAACUUUGUUUUAUUUGUGAUUGGUAUCUGUUUUCGACCGCAUUUUUAUUCCGGAAUAUUGCUUUCAAUCUUUAAUAAUGCUGUGCCUCUCCUUCAUUUCCUUAAUCAUUGAUGUUGAACAAUGUUUUAAUUCAUGUGUUUUAGUUCGUUUAGUUUGAAUUUAGUCGAGUAGUUCAUGGCUUAGCUUUUUGUUUUAAUUUUGGUCUAGACUUUGUUAGUGGUAAUCCUGUUAGUUUAAGCUUUUGCAUAAUUGAAUUUGGUCAUAUGUUUGUUUUUAUAGUUUAAACAUGAUUUUGUUCUUGAUUUUCUUAUUCAGUGAUGUGUGAAUUAAUCUCAUGUUCAGGUGUUUUGAUUAGUUAGUAGUUUGAGCUUGUUUUCUUAAGUCUGUCAUUAGCUUAUUCAAUUUUUGUUUUUCUCAUGUGCUUUGAUCUGCUUUGGUUGCUGCUGAUUGUUUGGUUACGUCUAAUUAGUUUUAAUUCCUGAUUUUUGCUUAUUGGUUAGUCUCUGUAGUUUUAAUCAGGGAGGAGAGGUUUGGGGUCAGAGUUAUACUUUUAGGAUGAAUUAAGGGGUAGCUUGGUCAUUUAUGAUGGAGAAUCGUACAAGUGGAUGAGCAUGAAUCUUCUAGAACAUUUUAUUUGAGUCCCAAAUCAGAUUUUUAAUAAACUUAAGAUAGUAACUUGGGGGACAAGUUAAAGAAUAAAUGUCCAAAAGCUGAAAUUAUAUAGGGACUAAAGAGAAAAGCUGAAAUCUGAAAAAGGGUUCCUUUGAGCCUAUAAAAGGGAGGACCCCUGCCUUAUUCAGGGAGGUUUUUCAGUCAUCGGAAUCACCGCUAAACGAACUUCUAUUUUCCAGCGAAAAGUCCAAAAAAACAGCCUCACAUAGACUCUGAACUUUGAGUCCUCAAUAAAAAAUUUCCAAUCCGUCAUUCUAGAUCUCGGUCUUAUACAGAAAAACCAAAACCAAUAGAAAUCCAAUAGAAAAACAAAAAAAGUUACUAUCCCAUUGAAAAUUUCAUUUUAUUUCUCAAAUCAAGUUUGUUUGGCUGAGUGUUUUCUGGAGCAAAAUUUACUUCUCUUCGUGGUUACUGCUUUGCAUGUUUUUUGUCAACAUCUAUUGAUCACUUUGAGCUUGAAUCUCCUGUCAUUGCUAUGGAAUCUGCUGUUUGCUGUGUUAAAUAGCUCUUCGGUGAAGCUAACCCUCUCCUUCUUCUAUUGUAACUCCCUACCAGGUACACAACUGUAUAUUUGAUGGUUAUGAGCUGAAAAUGAGCAAAAAUGAGUUUAUGAAGAAUGAAGUUAUUUGGAAAAAUUGAAUUCUGAUUUAGUUGGUUUCCAUACUUGUAUAUUCAGUCUAUAGUUCAUGGAUGUUGUCUAAGUUGUUGCUUGUUCUGUACUAGAUGGAAUAUAUAAAUUGUAAUUGCUAUAAGGUGGACACAAAUAUUAGUUAAUUAAUUUCAUAGAAUGGAUUCGUAAAAUGACUUGUGUUAUUUGAAUUGGUUUUUAAAUAGUUAAUUUGCAUCUAGUAAUACUGUUGCCAAAGUUACGCUUUUGUUUUAAAUUUUCAUGUUAGUGAUAUCUAGGAAUUGAAAUCCAACAGGUCGAUACAUAACUGAUGUGGUUAAGUGAAUUUUGACUUCCUUUUACAAAUGUUUAAAUAAUUCAUCGAUUGCCC